RNAcentral lists this transfer RNA (76 nucleotides) under Deefgea sp. Its description in RNAcentral is "tRNA-Val". It matches the Rfam family "tRNA". Rfam says of the family: Transfer RNA (tRNA) molecules are approximately 80 nucleotides in length. Their secondary structure includes four short double-helical elements and three loops (D, anti-codon, and T loops). Further hydrogen bonds mediate the characteristic L-shaped molecular structure. tRNAs have two regions of fundamental functional importance: the anti-codon, which is responsible for specific mRNA codon recognition, and the 3' end, to which the tRNAs corresponding amino acid is attached (by aminoacyl-tRNA synthetases). tRNAs cope with the degeneracy of the genetic code in two manners: having more than one tRNA (with a specific anti-codon) for a particular amino acid; and 'wobble' base-pairing, i.e. permitting non-standard base-pairing at the 3rd anti-codon position. Lineage: Bacteria; Pseudomonadati; Pseudomonadota; Betaproteobacteria; Neisseriales; Chitinibacteraceae. The record is from RNAcentral. RNAcentral also lists the same sequence under 4 other names.
GGGUCGUUAGCUCAGUUGGUAGAGCGCCUGCCUUACAAGCAGGAUGUCGGCGGUUCGACCCCGUCACGACCCACCA